AAUGUAUGAAUGAAUGAAUGAUAUAAAUAGUAAAUAUACUGUGCCAUUUAGAAUUUUUAAGUCUGAUUUUUAAGUCUUGUAUCUGUGUGUUUGUUUUGUAAGGGAAGCGCCAUUGUCUAGAACUCCAAAACCACGUUCGCCUUUUUUGUAAUUGAGGACAGAAUCUACACGGUGGGCCUUUUGUUGGUCCAGGAGCCGAAGAACGCCUGAUCGCUGCUCUAAAACCAAGAAAUUUGCCUCAGCAAGCAUCUCGGCAGCCAAAUGAAAGGGAGAACAUUACUACAGAGGGCACGUUAUAAACCCGUCCAUAUUGUAAGUGAUCUUAAUCCCCCAAUCUAACCACUUGUAUUGCCUUUUCUGGUGGGGGUUUUCCAUUGAAAUGAUUCCAGUUGCUCUUUGGCAGGGGAGAUCCACAAGCCGAGUGUGGUGUGAAGAAGAUUUCCAGAUCUGUGCAACUGGAAUAAAAGGAGGGACCACCCGUAAGGAUCAGAUAAGAGCAUGAUAUUUUCUCUCUGAGACAUGAUGACAUGUACAAAAGCGAAAUGGAGAAUUGUGCUCGAGGCGAUCUGGAGCUUCUGACAGCCUGUCUCGCUCUGAGGUUUGUUUAUGCUAGUUAAAAUGUGGUUAUAUUACAAAGUCCCUUUUGAUUUGCUGCAUUACGAUAGAUUUUACAGAUCAAGGCCCUGAAAUACAUGUUGUGCCGUGAAGAUGCCCGUGUGCGGACCCUCUAUUGAAGAGGCCUGUCUAUGCCUGUCUGCUGGGCCACCAUUUACUCUGGGUGAUUGAUGUCAGCUAUUCAGCAUGUAAGUGGUGGCUUCACACCUCUUCC
RNAcentral lists this long non-coding RNA (829 nucleotides) under Danio rerio (zebrafish). RNAcentral's name for it is "lncRNA (ENSDARG00000117701.1)". Lineage: Eukaryota; Metazoa; Chordata; Actinopteri; Cypriniformes; Danionidae. The record is from RNAcentral.